AUGAAGCUGUUUCAAAAAGAGCAACAGUCACUGAUUGCAUCCCAAGGUCUACAUUUGGAUGGAGAUGAUUUAGCAGGGCUGGAUCACAAAAAUAUUAUGCCACUGAAGGACGCAGGAGAAAGUUUUGUGAAACAAGUGUUUAUCACUGUAAGCCCAAAGUUGUGUUCAGCCAUAAAAAACCACAUUUCUGGACUUAAAAGAUUUGGCACUGGUGAUGUCUCUGACCAGUCUAGCAUUCUUCACAUGCAUGACAUCAUGGAUGACCUGGAAGAGUUUACAGAAAUUCCUGACAAUUUUUGUGAUCUACCUCAUGAGCACUAUCCUCUUACUAUAACAUAUUGUAAGUUUUUGAUGAUGCUUGAUGGAACAUGCCGGACAUCAUUUUUCGAUGCGUUUUAUGGUGAAAUGAAGACAAGCUUUGAGAGAGGCCACUCAAGAUCGCGUGCGGUGCAAACUUUUAUUGAAUUGAAGGAAGUUACCUAUGAAAAAUUUGCUACUUUCUACUGGCCUCGUUUUAAGGCAGACCUAACAAAGAAAUUUGCUGCAUCUACUGUCUUCACUGAAAUAAUUUCUCAUAUAAAGGGUGCAUAUCAAACAAGCAGGCCUUAUGCUGGCAAACUGGGAAGAGAGGAUUAUGUGAUGCUUUCAGAUAAAAGAUUUUCAUCUUUGAACAAUGAGAAGAGAGAUAGAAUUUAUGAUAUAUUCCUUGAAUAUGAGAGUAUGAAAGGCACUGCCAAGGAGUUUGAUUUGUCAGAUUUCGUCAAUAGUCUUCACAGCAGUCUUGUAUCUGAGGGCUACCACGGCGAUAUGGUGGAUUUUGUUUACAUAGAUGAGGUACAGGAUCUCACCAUGACACAAAUAGCACUUCUUAAGUAUGUCUGUAUGAACAUCAAGGAAGGCUUCCUUUUUGCUGGUGAUACUGCACAGACUAUAGCAAGGGGUAUCGAUUUCAGGUUUGAAGAUAUCCGUUCACUGUUUUAUACUGCAUUCCUCGCAGAAACUGAAGCAUCUAAUCAAGGACUUAAACAUGGGAAAAAAGUCCAUCUCUCUGAUAUGUUCCAACUGUCUCAGAAUUUCCGCACACAUUGUGGCAUCCUCCGUAUGGCACAAAGUAUCAUGAGCCUUCUGUACUUCUUUUUCCCGUCAAGUGUUGACAAGCUCAAUCCAGAGACUGGACUUGUAUAUGGAGAAGCUCCUGUGCUGCUGGAGUCUGAUAACGAUGAAAAUGCAAUUAUGACUAUUUUUGGAGAAAGCAAAACUACACAUGGUAACCUGCAUGGGUUUGGUGCUGAGCAAGUCAUAUUAGUUCGUGAUGAUGCUGCCAAAAAACAAAUUAUUGAUCUUGUUGGUAAACAAGCUCUUGUUUUGACUAUUGUUGAAUGUAAGGGCCUUGAGUUUCAGGAUGUGCUGUUGUACAACUUUUUUGGUUCGUCGCCUUUAAGAAACAAAUGGAGAGUUCUCUAUGGCUACAUGAAAGAUAAAGAUAUUAUAGCACACUCCGAGGAGAUCUCUCAUCCCGGUUUCGACAGAAGCAAGCAUUAUCUUCUCUGUUCAGAGCUGAAGCAACUAUAUGUUGCAAUCACACGCACUAGGCAAAGACUCUGGAUAUGUGAAAAUACAGAGAAUUACUGUCGACCAAUGUUUGACUACUGGAAGAAGUUGUGCCUUGUAGAAGUUAGAUUAUUAGAUUCUUCCCUCAUUCAGGCAAUGCAGACAGGGAGCAGCAGUGAUGAUUGGAGGAUACAGGGAACCAAGUUAUUCAAUGAGGGGCAAUUCGAGAUGGCUACUAUGUGCUUCGAAAAGGCCGGUGAUGCACACAGAGAGAAGUUGGCAAGAGCUGCUGGACUUGUAGCGACUGCUAACCGUGUCAUCUCAACAAAUUUGGAGUUGGGCAAGGCUUCGUUGCAAACAGCAUCAGAGAUUUACGAGUCCAUAGGCAUGCAUGAGAAAGCUGCUAUAUGCUAUAUCAAAUUAGGUGACUACAAAAAAGCAGGUAUGGUCUAUAUGCAAAAAUGUGGUACUUCUAAACUUGAGGAUGCUGGUGAUUGUUUUGCUAUGGCUGAAUGCUGGUCGGAGGCAGCUGAAGUGUUCUUGAAAGCUAAAUGUUACACAAAGUGUUUCUCCAUGUGCUCGAAAGGGAAAAAUUUGUUCAAUCUGGGCUUGCAGUUUCUGCAACAGUUAGAAGAGGAACAUUCGCUUGAGAAUUCAAAAUCCUUGGCGGUUUCUGCAAUUAGAACAAACUAUCUGGAUAAUUGUGCUCAACAUUAUUUUGAGCGUGGUGACAUAAAGCAGAUGAUGCCUUUUGUUAAAGCUUUCAGCUCUAUGGAUCAUGUACGGGCAUUCCUAAAUUCUAGGAAUCUUGUUGAUGAACUGUGGAGUUUGGAGAUGGAGAUGGGUAAUUUCCUAGAAGCUGCAGGAAUAGCAAAGCAUAAUGGAGAUGUCUUACUGGAGGUAGACAUGCUCGAGAAGGCAGGCUUAUUUGAGGAUGCGACACGGCUUCUCCUCCUCCAUAUCAUUGUGGAUUCCUUCUGGUCCUCAAAUAGCAGAGGGUGGCCUCCCAAAAGAUAUGCAGAGAAGGAACAAUUGCUUUCAAGAGCCAAAGAGAUGGCGGAAAAGGUAUCUGAGUGCUUCUACUGCUUUGUUUGCGUGGAAGCUGAUGCACUGUCAGAUGUGAAUAAGUCUCUUCCCAGUUUAAAUUGCACUUUGGUUGAGGGCAGAAAAUGUGCAAACUUGUUAGUUGAACUUGUUGCUUCCCGUUCGAUUCUUGAUGUUCAUCUUCAGUCUCGAGCCUCUGGAUACAAUAUAGAAUUAGGGCCAGGAUCUGAAGAUGAAAAUGGUUGUAGUAACAUGCUUGCAUCUAACCAGAUGUCACCCCAAACUCUGUUUUAUGUCUGGAAUCACUGGAAGUCGAUCAUAAUCAAAGUACUAUCUCAUCUUCGCCACACCGAUGGUCCAGAAUUAAAUGAUUAUGCAGUUAUGUAUGAAGAUCUUUGUGCCAAGUACUUUGGAUUGCGGAAGGAUGGUGAAGUUGACAGAUAUGUGGUGCUUAACGUGAAUGCAAGUUGGCUCUCUACUACUGGCAGAAAUUCUUUGCAGCAAGAUGGCAACAGAUGUUUCUUGGGUGCCCUACAGUGUCAUUCAUGUGCUCAGUGUUUCUGGAUGAAUGAGCUGUCUUCUGUUGGUUUCAGUGUACUUAAGAAGUUGGAGUCCAUUGUUCAAAUUUCUCCAAAGCCAUCAUCUUCUUAUACCCUGGUGAGAACUAUCCUUAUGAUAAAUGAGAUAGCAAAGUUUUUGGAAGAACCACAGUUCAGUAUGCCAAAAAACACGAAGUUAAGAAGCUUUUUUAUUCUCUGUGAGCGUCGUUUCUUUGAGUUAGUUUUUCUUGUGUGGAGAGACGGGACAAGAAGGAGCCUCUUGCAUCUACUUGACUCACCAGCUGCAUAUGGAUUGAUUGCUGAUUCUCUUAGUGCAAAUCUACGCCCAGCAAAUAAAAAUUUGACUCAUGGGCAUCUUGGGAGAACAACCAUGCUCCUGCUUCACGCAGCACAAUUGGACGAAGAGCUACUUUCAAGACUACUGCAGUACCUGGACAAUAAUUCUGAGUGGGCAGAAUUUUUUCGAUAUUUCAAGAGAUUUCUUGACAGCGGUGGUGAUAGAUCCUCCUUGAUCUUGAACUUUAAGCUUGCUUUUGACUUUACCUUCAAUGUAAAGUGGAAGGAUGAACUAGACUACAUAUCCCCAAUAUGCUAUGUGGGUCUUAUGGAAUGCCUUGGUUUUAUGGCUUCAUCAUACUUGAUACAGAAUGAUUUUAUAUGCUGCACGAAAUCUCUGCUGGUCAAUAUGCUGGAGUGCCAUACCAGCAAGGCUUACAUUGACACCUGCCUGGUAUCUAAAUCGAGCCCAGAUUCAGAUCUUGAUCGUUUGGCAUACUCAUCAGGCCGUUUCAUAUAUCAGACAAUUAUGACUAUCUUGACGACCAAGCAUAUGCUCCAGGAAUGGGUACAUAAGACUUCAAGUCCUAGUACUUCAUACAAACCAGUCCUCCUGAGACUAGUUGUUACACUUUAUCCUCUGAUCCUUACUCUUUCUCUGGGGAAUUUCUAUGAGGUCACACAUAACCUUCUGAGGAAUGAAGUGUUUAAGGAUUUACCUGUGGAGUUCUCUCAGAAGAUUGUACAUGCUUUGCAAAUGAAGUCCCGCACACCGAGCAACUUCACAAGAAUGCUUGCUGAUGCACUCGCCGCAAUCAGAGAUAAUAUGGUAGUUAUUGGUUCACCCAAGGGCCCAGUAAUCUGUCGAAACUUAAAUGCUUAUAUGAUUAGCAAAGAGGAUUUGCAUGAUGUUCCGAAGAUAAUGGCUCUUCUGUGUCCUGAAGAACGAAGUUCUGUACAAGAGACUCUGUUGCCUGAAAAAUCUGAUGGUGAUAAGUCUGGCGAUGUUAUUUCUGGAAACAUUCCUAAGGCUGUACAAGAUAAUGAGAUGGAGCAUAGGAGUAAGAUAGAUAUUGUUGAGAUACUCUUUGAGAAGCUUGAGAUUUUAAAAGCCGACAAGGAUGGCCUGAAAGAUCCAAGGCGUGUUAUUGAAUACCUUAUAAGUGCCCUUCCAUGGCUGGAAGGUGGCCGUCUAGCAGCGAUUGAUAAACGAUUGCUGGAAGACGUCAGGCGCAUCUGCAGUGAGUUCGAAAAUGGUUCCGACAGGGCGCAGAGAAAUGCUUGUCUUGCUGUGGAGAAGCUGUGGAAGGGUGAGAAGAAACUGCCGAUGAUCUUCCGCAUGGUGACUGAUGCAAGGCUAUGCAAGAUUGAAAAUCAAGCGACAUUCCAACGCAUGGAUGACAGGAGCAACGACGCUGCAAUGGCUGCUGUAGAGACGCACGCUGACGCCGACGGUUGCUCAGAUGACGAUGAUAAACCUGACACGGGAGAAGCUGCGGCCUCGACUUCCAAAAAGGGGGCGCAGAAGCAGAAGAGCAAGAAGAAAUCCAAGAAGUCCAAGGGCCGGGGCAAGAAGUGA
Molecule: ribosomal RNA, 5010 nt
Filed under: Triticum aestivum (bread wheat)
Lineage: Eukaryota; Viridiplantae; Streptophyta; Magnoliopsida; Poales; Poaceae
Description: partial small subunit ribosomal RNA
Source: RNAcentral